AAUGAAUCUGAUAUAUAUAUCUCUCUCUCUACAAGAUUCAGUACCAGUUUGGUAUUUAUAUUCAAGGGAAGAUUCUGAAGCCAGAAACAACUAACCUUGGAAGACCUCCCAAUGUACAACUAAUUACCGCAUAAAAUCAAAGUUUAUUCCCAAUGUACAACUAAUUACCACAUAAAAUCAAAGUUCUUCAGAAUAAAAUCACAUCAAGAUUGUUGUCUGCUUGAACUCGUUUGAGGUACUACAGCAUUUGUUGCACUGCACGUUCUCCUAAGAAAUUUUGGUUUAAACCAACUCGAAGAGCCAUUGCUUGUUUCUUCUACAGCACGGAAACUACCAGAAAUCCCAGGAUUGCUUAAAACCUCGACUGCUUCUGAAAUUCCAUUACCCCUCUGCUGGGGGGUGGCUGGGGUAGCUCUGUGGAAGGGUCGUUGAACCUCCAAAGAUCCGCUGGAAACAGAUGGAGAAGUUAGUUCACUUGAUGGAGGCGGCAAAGAACCCUUCUUUGAUGAGAAUGUAAUUCGUGAACUG
RNAcentral lists this unclassified non-coding RNA (528 nucleotides) under Hevea brasiliensis (rubber tree). The record is from RNAcentral. Lineage: Eukaryota; Viridiplantae; Streptophyta; Magnoliopsida; Malpighiales; Euphorbiaceae.